Molecule: ribosomal RNA, 484 nt
Filed under: uncultured bacterium
Lineage: Bacteria
Description: partial 16S ribosomal RNA
Rfam family: Bacterial small subunit ribosomal RNA
Source: RNAcentral
AUUGAACGCUGGCGGCAUGCUUUACACAUGCAAGUCGAACGGCAGCGCGGGCUUCGGCCUGGCGGCGAGUGGCGAACGGGUGAGUAAUGCAUCGGAACGUGCCCAGUAGUGGGGGAUAGCCCGGCGAAAGCCGGAUUAAUACCGCAUACGACCUGAGGGUGAAAGCGGGGGACCGAAAGGCCUCGCGCUAUUGGAGCGGCCGAUGUCGGAUUAGCUAGUUGGUGGGGUAAAGGCUUACCAAGGCGACGAUCCGUAGCUGGUCUGAGAGGACGACCAGCCACACUGGGACUGAGACACGGCCCAGACUCCUACGGGAGGCAGCAGUGGGGAAUUUUGGACAAUGGGGGCAACCCUGAUCCAGCCAUGCCGCGUGCUGGAAGAAGGCCUUCGGGUUGUAAACCGCUUUUGUUCGGGAAGAAAUCCUCUGGGCUAAUACCCCGGGGGGAUGACGGUACCGGAAGAAUAAGCACCGGCUAACUACGUG